AGCUAUAAGUGAAUCUGGCUUUGACAUCUGCCAGCAGGGUUGAUUUGGCUGAUCUGGGUGUCUAGGAAGAGGCUCCCUUUCCUCUUCAUUGCUCUAUGUAUGUCUCCUCCUGAAACUGGAGUUUUUGGUCAAAAAGGAUGACCUUCCCAAAUAGAGGAGGUAUAGUCUUUGGUCAAGGGUAUAUAACUGUGAUCUCCUGCUAGAACCUCCAAAUGAGUUCUCAAGGCUAUAUCCUAUUAAAUACAAUCUAUAUCCUAUUAAAGAAUUUAGACACGUUUGAGAACAGCAUUC
Unclassified non-coding RNA from Cricetulus griseus (Chinese hamster), 291 nucleotides. Its record names the gene 7SK. It matches the Rfam family "7SK RNA". From Rfam's summary of the family: 7SK was discovered as an abundant small nuclear RNA in the mid-70s but a possible function has only recently been suggested. Two independent studies have found that 7SK RNA binds the CDK9/cyclin T complex (known as elongation factor P-TEFb). The record is from Ensembl. NCBI's taxonomy places the organism in Eukaryota, Metazoa, Chordata, Mammalia, Rodentia, Cricetidae.